GGGGCGUCGCCAAGCGGUAAGGCAGCAGGUUUUGAUCCUGCCAUGCGUUGGUUCGAAUCCAGCCGCCCUGCCA
Molecule: transfer RNA, 73 nt
Filed under: Pseudomonas syringae pv. actinidiae
Lineage: Bacteria; Pseudomonadati; Pseudomonadota; Gammaproteobacteria; Pseudomonadales; Pseudomonadaceae
Also listed under: 1 other name
Description: tRNA-Gln
Rfam family: tRNA
About the family: Transfer RNA (tRNA) molecules are approximately 80 nucleotides in length. Their secondary structure includes four short double-helical elements and three loops (D, anti-codon, and T loops).
Source: RNAcentral